GACGAACGCUGGCGGCGUGCUUAACACAUGUAAGUCGAACGGAAAGGCCCUGCUUUUGUGGGGUGCUCGAGUGGCGAACGGGUGAGUAACACGUGAGUAACCUGCCCUUGACUUUGGGAUAACUUCAGGAAACUGGGGCUAAUACCGGAUAGGAGCUCCUGCUGCAUGGUGGGGGUUGGAAAGUUUCGGCGGUUGGGGAUGGACUCGCGGCUUAUCAGCUUGUUGGUGGGGUAGUGGCUUACCAAGGCGUUGACGGGUAGCCGGCCUGAGAGGGUGACCGGCCACAUUGGGACUGAGAUACGGCCCAGACUCCUACGGGAGGCAGCAGUGGGGAAUAUUGCACAAUGGGCGGAAGCCUGAUGCAGCAACGCCGCGUGCGGGAUGACGGCCUUCGGGUUGUAAACCGCUUUCGCCUGUGACGAAGCGUGAGUGACGGUAAUGGGUAAAGAAGCACCGGCUAACUACGUG
This 468-nucleotide ribosomal RNA is filed under the name uncultured bacterium. RNAcentral's name for it is "partial 16S ribosomal RNA". It matches the Rfam family "Bacterial small subunit ribosomal RNA", at positions 28 to 507 of the family's 1533-position model. The record is from RNAcentral.